UACGUAGGGGGCUAGCGUUGUCCGGAUUUAUUGGGCGUAAAGAGCGUGUAGGCGGCCAGGUAGGUCCGUUGUGAAAACUCGAGGCUCAACCUCGAGACGUCGGCGGAAACCCUCUGGCUAGAGUCCGGAAGAGGAGAGUGGAAUUCCUGGUGUAGAGGUGAAAUUCGUAGAUAUUAGGAAGAACACCGGUGGCGAAGGCGGCCCACUG
This 208-nucleotide ribosomal RNA is filed under the name uncultured prokaryote. Its description in RNAcentral is "partial 16S ribosomal RNA". It matches the Rfam family "Bacterial small subunit ribosomal RNA", at positions 524 to 731 of the family's 1533-position model. The record is from RNAcentral.